UACGUAGGGGGCAAGCGUUGUCCGGAAUCAUUGGGCGUAAAGCGCGCGUAGGCGGCCCGGUAAGUCCGCUCUGAAAGUCCAGGGCUCAACCCUGGAAAGCGGGUGGAUACUGGCGGACUAGAGUGCGGUAGAGGGUGGUGGAAUUCCCGGUGUAGCAGUGAAAUGCGUAGAGAUCGGGAGGAACAUCUGUGGCGAAGGCGGCCACCUGGACCAGCACUGACACUGAGGCACGAAAGCGUGGGGAGCAAACAGG
RNAcentral lists this ribosomal RNA (253 nucleotides) under uncultured bacterium. Its description in RNAcentral is "partial 16S ribosomal RNA". It matches the Rfam family "Bacterial small subunit ribosomal RNA", at positions 524 to 776 of the family's 1533-position model. The record is from RNAcentral.